Molecule: unclassified non-coding RNA, 163 nt
Filed under: Rhizoclonium hieroglyphicum
Lineage: Eukaryota; Viridiplantae; Chlorophyta; Ulvophyceae; Cladophorales; Cladophoraceae
Description: ITS2
Source: RNAcentral
UUACCGUUAAUGACUCUUGCCGUGUGCAUGAGUUGAAUACUUGAAUUUAUUGUGCUAGACACAACAGAUUGGCAGUAUUUUACCUUUACUGUUCAUCGUGAGCAAAUGCCCCAGGCACCGGCUUUUCAUGGACAAUGUAAAGAAAAUAGAAUAGCUGCCUCCA